RNAcentral lists this ribosomal RNA (498 nucleotides) under uncultured bacterium. RNAcentral's name for it is "partial 16S ribosomal RNA". It matches the Rfam family "Bacterial small subunit ribosomal RNA", at positions 30 to 523 of the family's 1533-position model. The record is from RNAcentral.
AUUGAACGCUGGCGGCAUGCUUUACACAUGCAAGUCGAACGGUAACAGGCCGCAAGGUGCUGACGAGUGGCGAACGGGUGAGUAAUGCAUCGGAACGUGCCCAGUCGUGGGGGAUAACGCAGCGAAAGCUGUGCUAAUACCGCAUACGAUCUAUGGAUGAAAGCGGGGGACCGUAAGGCCUCGUGCGAUUGGAGCGGCCGAUGUCAGAUUAGGUAGUUGGUGGGGUAAAGGCUCACCAAGCCAACGAUCUGUAGCUGGUCUGAGAGGACGACCAGCCACACUGGGACUGGGACACGGCCCAGACUCCUACGGGAGGCAGCAGUGGGGAAUUUUGGACAAUGGGCGCAAGCCUGAUCCAGCAAUGCCGCGUGCAGGAAGAAGGCCUUCGGGUUGUAAACUGCUUUUGUACGGAACGAAACGGCGAGCUCUAAUACAGUUUGCUAAUGACGGUACCGUAAGAAUAAGCACCGGCUAACUACGUGCCAGCCGCCGCAGUAA